RNAcentral lists this ribosomal RNA (484 nucleotides) under uncultured bacterium. RNAcentral describes it as "partial 16S ribosomal RNA". It matches the Rfam family "Bacterial small subunit ribosomal RNA", at positions 30 to 507 of the family's 1533-position model. The record is from RNAcentral.
AUUGAACGCUGGCGGCAGGCCUAACACAUGCAAGUCGAGCGGAUGAAGGGAGCUUGCUCCUGGCUUCAGCGGCCGACGGGUGAGUAAUGCCUAGGAAUCUGCCUGGUAGUGGGGGAUAACGUCCGGAAACGGGCGCUAAUACCGCAUACGACCUGAGGGUGAAAGUGGGGGUUCAUCGGACAUAACGCUAUCAGAUGAGCCUAGGUCGGAUUAGCUAGUUGGUGGGGUAAAGGCCUACCAAGGCGACGAUCCGUAACUGGUCUGAGAGGAUGAUCAGUCACACUGGAACUGAGACACGGUCCAGACUCCUACGGGAGGCAGCAGUGGGGAAUAUUGGACAAUGGGCGAAAGCCUGAUCCAGCCAUGCCGCGUGUGUGAAGAAGGUCUUCGGAUUGUAAAGCACUUUAAGUUGGGAGGAAGGGCAGUAAGUUAAUACCUUGCUGUUUUGACGUUACCAACAGAAUAAGCACCGGCUAACUUCGUG